Molecule: ribosomal RNA, 460 nt
Filed under: uncultured bacterium
Lineage: Bacteria
Description: partial 16S ribosomal RNA
Rfam family: Bacterial small subunit ribosomal RNA
Source: RNAcentral
CCUACGGGUGGCUGCAGUGAGGAAUAUUGGUCAAUGGCCGGAAGGCUGAACCAGCCAUGCCGCGUGAAGGUCAGUGCCCUAUGGGCGUUAAACUUCUUUUGUGCGGGAGCAAUAAUGGUCACGUGUGGCCAGACGAGAGUACCGUACGAAUAAGCAUCGGCUAACUCCGUGCCAGCAGCCGCGGGAAUACGGGGGAUGCAAGCGUUUUCCGGCUUUCUUGGGUUUAAAGGGUGCGUAGGCUGGGAGGUAAGUCAGCGGUGAAAUGCCCCCGCUCCACGGGGUGAAGUGCCAUUGAUACUGCCGGGCUGGACUGCGGAUGCCGUUGGCGGGAUGUGUGGUGUAGCGGUGAAAUGCAUCGAUAUCACACAGAACACCGAUUGCGAAGGCAUCUCACGAAUCCGCGAUUGACGCUGAUGCACGAACGCGUGGGUAUCAAACAGGAUUAGAUACCCCUGUAGUC